UACGUAGGGUGCAAGCGUUGUCCGGAAUUAUUGGGCGUAAAGCGCUCGUAGGCGGUCUGUCGCGUCUGCUGUGAAAACUCAGGGCUUAACCCUGAGCUUGCAGUGGGUACGGGCAGACUAGAGUGCGGUAGGGGAGACUGGAAUUCCUGGUGUAGCGGUGAAAUGCGCAGAUAUCAGGAGGAACACCGGUGGCGAAGGCAGGUCUCUGGGCCGUAACUGACGCUGAGGAGCGAAAGCAUGGGGAGCGAACAGG
Molecule: ribosomal RNA, 253 nt
Filed under: uncultured bacterium
Lineage: Bacteria
Description: partial 16S ribosomal RNA
Rfam family: Bacterial small subunit ribosomal RNA
Source: RNAcentral